GACGAGCGCUGGCGGCGUGCUUAACACAUGCAAGUCGAGCGGUAAGGCCCUUUCGGGGGUACACGAGCGGCGAACGGGUGAGUAACACGUGGGUGACCUGCCUCUAGCUCUGGGAUAAGCCCGGGAAACUGGGUCUAAUACUGGAUAUGACUCCAUGACGCAUGUUGUGGGGUGGAAAGCCUUGUGCGGCUAGAGAUGGGCCCGC
RNAcentral lists this ribosomal RNA (205 nucleotides) under uncultured bacterium. Its description in RNAcentral is "partial 16S ribosomal RNA". It matches the Rfam family "Bacterial small subunit ribosomal RNA", at positions 28 to 234 of the family's 1533-position model. The record is from RNAcentral.